AAUUAAUAAGCUAAUUAAGCGUAUGUUUUGAAAACAUAAAUUAGAAGCUUGAAUCUUCUAUUAAUUU
This 67-nucleotide transfer RNA is filed under the name Thoradonta nodulosa. RNAcentral describes it as "tRNA-Ser". It matches the Rfam family "tRNA". Rfam says of the family: Transfer RNA (tRNA) molecules are approximately 80 nucleotides in length. Their secondary structure includes four short double-helical elements and three loops (D, anti-codon, and T loops). Further hydrogen bonds mediate the characteristic L-shaped molecular structure. tRNAs have two regions of fundamental functional importance: the anti-codon, which is responsible for specific mRNA codon recognition, and the 3' end, to which the tRNAs corresponding amino acid is attached (by aminoacyl-tRNA synthetases). tRNAs cope with the degeneracy of the genetic code in two manners: having more than one tRNA (with a specific anti-codon) for a particular amino acid; and 'wobble' base-pairing, i.e. permitting non-standard base-pairing at the 3rd anti-codon position. RNAcentral also lists the same sequence under 1 other name. Lineage: Eukaryota; Metazoa; Arthropoda; Insecta; Orthoptera; Tetrigidae. The record is from RNAcentral.